Molecule: long non-coding RNA, 937 nt
Filed under: Microcebus murinus (gray mouse lemur)
Lineage: Eukaryota; Metazoa; Chordata; Mammalia; Primates; Cheirogaleidae
Description: lncRNA (ENSMICG00000048440.1)
Source: RNAcentral
GAGCGGGCUCUGCGGCGCUGGGGCCCGAGGGGCGCGGGGGGCGCUGGGCUCCGGCGUCCCCUCUUCUGCUCACCGGAUCUCUGCGGCCGCCCAGUGCCAUCGCCCCACCCCGCAGCGCCGCCGCCUGCGGGCUCGCCCCCAGCUCCUAGCGACAGACGCCCACCCCUCGGACGCUCCCCACCCCAGCCUAGCCGGGAGGAAGGACAAGCCAGGCCUGGGGUCAGGACGGAGACCGCGGGGACCACAGUGCAGAUCCGUGCUGGGUGAGGCGCGGGCCUUAGAGCGGAGCCUUGAAGGCACCGACAGGCAGACAGAACAAUCUUUCCUCAGCACAAUCCUGGGAGAGGAAGGCCUAAAGCACUACAGUCUACAGCAUGGAGGCUUUGGUGCCUGGAAAAGACACCUGUGUAAGAAUUCUCUUCAAAGACUUCUCUCUGUCGGCCAGCCCUUCCAUUCUAGAAUCAACAUGAAAAUUAUUAAUGAGAGGUUUUAGGCCCUUUUCUCUGUCCACACUGAGCCACUGGAACCAUCUCCACGUGGGGGGGACCACACUCCUGGGCGACAGGGGCCUGCGCUGCCCUCCUGGGCCGGGACAGACCUGGACACCCGCAGACAUGUGCAGAGAUGUACUGAAGGUUUGUGCACGUCGAGUUCGUUAAGCCUCAAUUUUAAAAAAAGGAAGAGAUCCCAGUGAGCUGUGAUUGCACCACUGCCCUCCAGCCUGGGCGGCAGAGCGAGACUCUGUCUCUAAAAAUAAAUAAAUAAUAAAAUUUAAAUUUAAAAUAUGUUUAGAAAGGAAGAAAGAAAACUAAAAGGAAAUCAAUCUCUGUGUGAUUGUGACCUGGAGCCAGGGGAGGUGUGGGCACCAGGCGGGGUCUCCCCGGACCUAGGGGAGCCUCUCUCUGGCAAGCAGAGCGGGGCGAUGGGAGGAUCCACA